GAUGAAGAACGUAGCGAAAUGCGAUACUUGGUGUGAAUUGCAGAAUCCCGCGAAUCAUCGAGUUUUUGAACGCAAGUUGCGCCCGAAGCCAUUCGGCCGAGGGCACGUCUGCCUGGGUGUCACGCAUCGUUGCCCCCCCAAACUCCGGUUCAGGCGGGGCGGAAGUUGGCCUCCCGUGCGUGCCUGCGCGCGCGGUUAGCCCAAAAGCGAGUCCUCGGCGAUGAGCGCCACGACAAUCGGUGGUUUUUUUACCCUCGUUCCUCGUCGUGCGUGCCCCGUCGCCCGAACGCGCUCUUGCAACCCUUACGCGUCGCCUCGGUGGCGCUCCCAACGCGACCCCAGGUCAGGCGGGACUACCCGCUGAGUUUAAGCAUAUCAAUAAGCGGAGGA
This 390-nucleotide unclassified non-coding RNA is filed under the name soil metagenome. RNAcentral's name for it is "partial contains 5.8S ribosomal RNA, internal transcribed spacer 2, and large subunit ribosomal RNA". The stretch from base 1 to 122 matches the Rfam family "5.8S ribosomal RNA", at positions 35 to 154 of the family's 154-position model. The record is from RNAcentral.